Molecule: long non-coding RNA, 320 nt
Organism: Asterias rubens (European starfish)
Lineage: Eukaryota; Metazoa; Echinodermata; Asteroidea; Forcipulatida; Asteriidae
Exons: 3
Source: RefSeq, a predicted model, not a curated record
AUGGGCUCCUAGAUGGUGGACUGAUUUAAUGCCUGCUGCAAUACCUCAAACUUGCAGAGAAGUUCGAUGACAGACAAGGAUCCAGUACUUGUUCUACAUAAGCAGCACCUCUUGAACUUUUAUACCCAACAAUCAGGAGGACUCUACAACUGAAAACAUGAAGGGAAACAUGUAUGAGAACUAGAUGUACAUUUACUGCACCUAGCAAGAUGAGAAAUUUCAGCCGACAUAAACACUGAGGAGGACACUUCAACUGAAAACAUGACGGGAAACGUGUAUGAGAACUAGAUAUACAUUUACUGCACCUAGCAAGAUGAGAA